UACAGAGGUCUCAACCGUUGUUCGGAUUCAUUGGGCGUAAAGGGUGCGUAGGCGGUCGGGUAGGUCGGAUGUGAAAUCUCAGGGCUCAACCCUGAAACUGCAUUCGAUACUGCCUGGCUAGGGUACUGGAGAGGAGACUGGAAUUUACGGUGUAGCAGUGAAAUGCGUAGAUAUCGUAAGGAAGACCAGUGGCGAAGGCGAGUCUCUGGACAGUUACCGACGCUGAGGCACGAAGGCCAGGGGAGCAAACGGG
Molecule: ribosomal RNA, 253 nt
Filed under: uncultured bacterium
Lineage: Bacteria
Description: partial 16S ribosomal RNA
Rfam family: Bacterial small subunit ribosomal RNA
Source: RNAcentral